RNAcentral lists this ribosomal RNA (292 nucleotides) under uncultured bacterium. RNAcentral describes it as "partial 16S ribosomal RNA". It matches the Rfam family "Bacterial small subunit ribosomal RNA", at positions 505 to 796 of the family's 1533-position model. The record is from RNAcentral.
GUGUCAGCCGCCGCGGUAAUACAGAGGUCCCAAGCGUUGUUCGGAUUCACUGGGCGUAAAGGGUGCGUAGGUGGUUGGGCAAGUCUGAUGUGAAAUCUCCGGGCUUAACCCGGAAAUGGCAUUGGAAACUGCCUGGCUAGAGUGUUGGAGGGGGGACUGGAAUUCUCGGUGUAGCAGUGAAAUGCGUAGAUAUCGAGAGGAACACCAGUGGCGAAGGCGAGUCCCUGGACAACGACUGACACUGAGGCACGAAAGCUAGGGGAGCAAACAGGAUUAGAUACCCUCGUAGUCC